Molecule: ribosomal RNA, 253 nt
Filed under: uncultured bacterium
Lineage: Bacteria
Description: partial 16S ribosomal RNA
Rfam family: Bacterial small subunit ribosomal RNA
Source: RNAcentral
UACGGAGGAUGCAAGCGUUAUCCGGAAUGAUUGGGCGUAAAGCGUCCGCAGGUGGCUGUGUAAGUCUGCUGUCAAAGAGCAAAGCUCAACUUUGUAAAGGCAGUGGAAACUACACGGCUAGAGUGCGUUCGGGGCAGAGGGAAUUCCUGGUGUAGCGGUGAAAUGCGUAGAGAUGUGGAGGAACACCGAUGGCGAAGGCAGCCCCCUGGGCUAACACUGACGCUCAUGCACGAAAGCGUGGGGAGCAAACAGG